This 461-nucleotide ribosomal RNA is filed under the name uncultured bacterium. RNAcentral's name for it is "partial 16S ribosomal RNA". It matches the Rfam family "Bacterial small subunit ribosomal RNA", at positions 338 to 795 of the family's 1533-position model. The record is from RNAcentral.
CCUACGGGAGGCAGCAGUGAGGAAUAUUGGUCAAUGGGCGCGAGCCUGAACCAGCCAAGUAGCGUGCAGGAUGACUGCCCUACGGGUUGUAAACUUCUUUUAUAAAGGAAUAAAGUGAGGCACGUGUGCCUUUUUGUAUGUACUUUAUGAAUAAGGAUCGGCUAACUCCGUGCCAGCAGCCGCGGUAAUACGGGGGAUGCAAGCGUUAUCCGGAUUUAUUGGGUUUAAAGGGUGCGUAGGCUGGGAGGUAAGUCAGCGGUGAAAUGCCCCCGCGUAACGGGGUGAAGUGCCAUUGAUACUGCCUGGCUGGAAUGCUGAUGCCGUGGGAGGAAUGUGUGGUGUAGCGGUGAAAUGCUUAGAGAUCACACAGAACACCGAUUGCGAAGGCAGCUCACGAAGCCGCGAUUGACGCUGAUGCACGAAAGCGUGGGUAUCAAACAGGAUUAGAUACCCGGGUAGUC